RNAcentral lists this ribosomal RNA (1313 nucleotides) under uncultured Alphaproteobacteria bacterium. RNAcentral describes it as "uncultured alpha proteobacterium 16S ribosomal RNA". It matches the Rfam family "Bacterial small subunit ribosomal RNA", at positions 33 to 1393 of the family's 1533-position model. Lineage: Bacteria; Pseudomonadati; Pseudomonadota; Alphaproteobacteria. The record is from RNAcentral.
ACGCUGGCGGCACGCCUAACACAUGCAAGUCGAACGAAGUAGCAAUACUUAGUGGCAGACGGGUGAGUAACAUGUAGGUAUCUGCCCUUUGGCCUGGAAUAACACGAGGAAACUUGUGCUAAUACCGGAUAAGUCUUUACGGAGAAAGCUUUAUGCACCAUUGGAUGAGCCUGCACUUGAUUAGUUUGUUGGUGGGGUAAUGGCCUACCAAGACUGUGAUCAAUAGCUGAUUUGAGAGGAUGAUCAGCCACAUUGGGACUGAGACACGGCCCAAACUCCUACGGGAGGCAGCAGUGGGGAAUCUUGCACAAUGGAGGAAACUCUGAUGCAGCGAUGCCGCGUGAGUGAAGAAGGCCCUUGGGUUGUAAAGCUCUUUCGUCGGGGAAGAAAAUGACUGUACCCGAAUAAGAAGGUCCGGCUAACUUCGUGCCAGCAGCCGCGGUAAUACGAAGGGACCUAGCGUAGUUCGGAAUUACUGGGCUUAAAGAGUUCGUAGGUGGUUGAAAAAGUUAGUGGUGAAAUCCCAGAGCUUAACUCUGGAACUGCCAUUAAAACUUUUCAGCUAGAGUAUGAUAGAGGAAAGCAGAAUUUCUAGUGUAGAGGUGAAAUUCGUAGAUAUUAGAAAGAAUACCAAUUGCGAAGGCAGCUUUCUGGAUCAUUACUGACACUGAGGAACGAAAGCAUGGGUAGCGAAGAGGAUUAGAUACCCUCGUAGUCCAUGCCGUAAACGAUGUGUGUUAGACGUUGGAAAUUUAUUUUCAGUGUCGCAGGGAAACCGAUAAACACACCGCCUGGGGAGUACGACCGCAAGGUUAAAACUCAAAUGAAUUGACGGGGACCCGCACAAGUAGUGGAGCAUGUGGUUUAAUUCGAAGAUACGCGCAGAACCUUACCAACACUUGACAUGUUCGUCGCGACUCUAAGAGAUUAGAGUUUUCGGUUCGGCCGGACGAAACACAGGUGCUGCAUGGCUGUCGUCAGCUCGUGUCGUGAGAUGUUGGGUUAAGUCCCGCAACGAGCGCAACCCUCACUUUUAGUUGCCAUCAUUAAGUUGGGCACUCUGAAAGAACUGCCAGUGAUAAGCUGGAGGAAGGUGGGGAUGACGUCAAGUCCUCAUGGCCCUUACGUGUUGGGCUACACACGUGCUACAAUGGUAUCUACAACAGGAAGCAAGACUGCGAAGUUAAGCAAAUCCCGAAAAGAUACCUCAGUUCGGAUUGCACUCUGCAACUCGAGUGCAUGAAGCUGGAAUUACUAGUAAUCGUGGAUCAGCGUGCCACGGUGAAUGCGUUCCCGGGUCUUGUACUCACCGC